This 238-nucleotide unclassified non-coding RNA is filed under the name Glomeraceae sp. RNAcentral's name for it is "partial contains 5.8S ribosomal RNA and internal transcribed spacer 2". The stretch from base 1 to 65 matches the Rfam family "5.8S ribosomal RNA", at positions 84 to 154 of the family's 154-position model. Lineage: Eukaryota; Fungi; Glomeromycota; Glomeromycetes; Glomerales; Glomeraceae. The record is from RNAcentral.
GUGAAUCAUCGAAUUUUUGAACGCAAAUUACACUCUCCUCGGAGAGUAUGCCUGUUUGAGGGUCAGCCUAUAAAAAAUCAACAUCGUUGCUGUUUCGCGGUGGCUUUCGUCGGAAAUUGGUUUACUUUAAAUCUUUUUGGUUUUUAAGCGACUUAAAUUUUCCUUUUUGUUUCCUUGAAGGUUCCAAGGUUUUAUUUUUUUACACGUUUAAGGUAUGGUUUUUUAUUAGACGUAACCA